Ornithodoros turicata is the source of this 562-nucleotide long non-coding RNA. RefSeq lists it as uncharacterized. The transcript is spliced from 3 exons. NCBI's taxonomy places the organism in Eukaryota, Metazoa, Arthropoda, Arachnida, Ixodida, Argasidae. The record is from RefSeq and is a predicted model, not a curated record.
UUCCGCCCAAGCAGCAUGACGUAACAAACUCUAUAUAUUCAAAUGGCGCGGAACGCCGUUGCACAAUAUUCGUCGAGCGACAACCCUGCAUUUGACAAGCACGUUGUCCGUCUUUAGUACAAGCAGUUUGAGGCACACCCUCGGAAAGGGGCAACCUUAAAAGGAAGCAUCUGUUAUCUUGUGUGACACCCUCAUAACGGUCAUUGUGUUUGCGGAUUUUGCAAGCCGAGGUCGCUCUGCGAGGACUGCGGAAUCGAAAUGAGCAGAGCAGCAUGGAUACUGCUCCACCUUCUGUUGUUUACACUUGGGUGGAUUGUUAUGGCAGACUGCUUCGGCCUACGGAAGCCGCGUCUGCCACCAGUCUUUAGGGACGAGAACCAGUUGGUGCAGUAUCUGCAAGCCUUGGAUGACUAUUAUCUGCUUCUGGCAAAACCGAGGUUCGGCAGAAGCAUGGAACAGGAUGACAUUUUCCUACGACGUCGAAGAUUCAACCCGUAUUAAAGUUAUUGUUUUUAUGUUUUGCAACUCGGCUUUACCAAUUAAAAAUAUGCUCCAAAAUUGA